Molecule: long non-coding RNA, 1958 nt
Organism: Glycine soja
Lineage: Eukaryota; Viridiplantae; Streptophyta; Magnoliopsida; Fabales; Fabaceae
Exons: 2
Source: RefSeq, a predicted model, not a curated record
UUUUAUUCUAAUUUAAAUCCUCCAUAUUGCACACACUCUCUCAAUCUCUCUCACUCAUGCUUGUCUUUCUUUUUCAGAACCUUCCACAACCUAAGCCACUACUCCUCCUCCCUCCGCCAAACACCACCGCUUCCACUGCAACUUACGCCAUCUCCCUCCACCGCAACUUGCCAGGCAGGACUCCAUCACCACUCUCAUCGACAUCACUACCACACCAAAACCCUAUCCUCCAACCUCACCUCCGUUCUCAAACAACUCCAAAGGCGACUCUGCGCUAGUUUUCUCCCCCAAUGUUCUCCAUGUUUGGAUCCUCUGUUUCGUUGCUCCACCUUUCUUCGUUCCACUCUCGCGCGUUUGAUCUUCUUCUACUCUAAGGAGAGGGAACUGAUUUCGGAGAUAGAUUAAUAAUUUCAUUAGGUUUCAGAGAUUACAUUUUGCAUUUUACUUGUUAACCUUUCAGCCACUCGAUUUGGUCUUUCUCUUUUGCUAAUCGAAGUGGAAUGAAUUGAUUUCACAAAUUAACUGUUUCAUUUGAUUUUGGAGAUUACUUGUUGCAAUUUACUUGUUGAUCUUCAUUCCUUUUACUUUUUUAUGCAGAAAAGCUUGUGUGAAUUUGACGCUUGUUGUCAAGACUUAUUAGCUAUUACUUUGAAUUUCAUAUUAGGUAUCAAUUUGCUCUUUAACUUCACUUAUUCGAAGGUGAACAAAUUGAUUUCAAAGAUUAAAUAAUCCAAUUUGAGAUGUUUUCUCUUUUCUCUGCUUCUUCAAUAAUUCAAUUGGCUGCUUAAUUAAUUAAUUGAUUGAUUAAUGAAUUGUUAUUGGUAAUUGGUAGCUCUCAAGUUUAUGCUUAUGCUUGUGCAUUACAUUAGACUUCUAUGAUUCUAGUUAUUUUAGAUUUCAUGUUUCAUUGAAUGUGAAGUGACUUAUUUGUGUAAUGUUGUUUGGGUACGGGAUCAUGAAUGAAUCAUUUCUUGCAAUUAUGCAUGCAUUUUAUUUUUUUUUCAUUCGGGAAUCACUAAUAUAAUAUGCAUAUGAUGUUAAAAGCUAUUAUGUUUGUUAUUGUUGAAUCUUGUUGUCGUAUAAAGAAAGGCUAGUUGACACUAAUAUAAUAGCCAUAUGAUGUGUCGUUUGUUACUUGAAUGAGGAUUUAUGAUUUAGAAAUAGAAAAGGAUUGAAUAAAUGGAAAAUAGUCAAUACUUAGUUGAAAAUUUUGAUUUGGAUUAGAAAUUUAAUGUUAGAUUUCUAGCCCAUUGCAUGGCUAGAUAGGGUUAAAUAGUCAUUGUAUAUGGAUAAAUCUGGUUAAAUUAGCUUUACUGUUUAGUGUUUAUCUAUAAAAUGUGAACAAACUAGUUCAUUAUUUUUCAGCUAUUAACUUUCUGUUGAAGUAAUUUUACAUAACUUAAUAUGCUUGAUAUAAGUAAAUGGAAAUCAUGAGACCAUAAAUGUGGAAGGGGAUUUCAAAAUCAGCCAAGAAGCAGGGCAUGGAAGUUCAUUCUCUGUGAAUGAAUCAUAAACUUGUAGCUAAUAAAAUUUUUUGGUUGCUCAUCACAACUCACAAAGUCUGAAUAGCUAUCCAAAGGAGUAAUGCUACUGCCAUUGUUGUUACCAAUGUGUCUGAUAUUAAACACUAGUACAAUAGAUUUGAUUUUAUAGAUUAGACAAGAGUAUGCCAGAAAGCUUGAAGAAGUGAUAUUCUCUUUCCCUUCUACACUUGUAGAUAAAGUAUGGUUAUCUUUUCUUUGUUUGUUGAUGCUCAUCUCAUAGUUGAGCUUGCGGAUUUGUAUUAUUGUUGCCUAGAACAUAUUUUGUUUCUAAAGUCCUUUUAUGCUUUUAUAUGCCAACUAGAACAUAUCUUCAAACAAACAACAAGAACUCAGUUAAUUAGCAAAGUCAGAAAACAAUAUCAUUAGUUGUUAUAGAGUCAUUUCAUGUUUAUAUUAAUUUCAACAUUUGGAAGU